Molecule: ribosomal RNA, 794 nt
Filed under: uncultured bacterium
Lineage: Bacteria
Description: bacterial SSU rRNA
Rfam family: Bacterial small subunit ribosomal RNA
Source: RNAcentral
AGAGUUUGAUCAUGGCUCAGAUUGAACGCUGGCGGCAUGCCUUACACAUGCAAGUCGAACGCGAAAGAGGGGGCAACUCCUUGAGUAGAGUGGCGAACGGGUGAGUAACACAUCGGAACGUACCCAGGAGUGGGGGACAACCUCGAGAAAUCGAGGCUAAUACCGCAUACGUCCUGAGGGAGAAAGCGGGGGACCGUAAGGCCUCGCGCUCAUGGAGCGGCCGAUGUCCGAUUAGCUAGUUGGCGGGGUAAGAGCCCACCAAGGCGACGAUCGGUAGCUGGUUUGAGAGAACGACCAGCCACACUGGGACUGAGACACGGCCCAGACUCCUACGGGAGGCAGCAGUGGGGAAUUUUGGACAAUGGGGGCAACCCUGAUCCAGCCAUGCCGCGUGAGUGAAGAAGGCCUUCGGGUUGUAAAGCUCUUUCGGCCGGAACGAAAUCGGGUACGUGAAUAUCGUGCCUGGAUGACGGUACCGGAGUAAGAAGCACCGGCUAACUACGUGCCAGCAGCCGCGGUAAUACGUAGGGUGCGAGCGUUAAUCGGAAUUACUGGGCGUAAAGCGUGCGCAGGCGGUUCGCUAAGUCAGACGUGAAAGCCCCGGGCUUAACCUGGGAAUGGCGUUUGAAACUGGCGGGCUCGAGUACGGCAGAGGGGGGUGGAAUUCCACGUGUAGCAGUGAAAUGCGUAGAUAUGUGGAGGAACACCGAUGGCGAAGGCAGCCCCCUGGGCCGAUACUGACGCUCAUGCACGAAAGCGUGGGGAGCAAACAGGAUUAGAUACCCUAGUAGUCC